UACGAAGGGGGCUAGCGUUGUUCGGAAUUACUGGGCGUAAAGCGCACGUAGGCGGAUAUUUAAGUUAGGGGUGAAAUCCCAGGGCUCAACCCUGGAACUGCCUCUAAUACUGGGUAUCUAGAGUCCGAGAGAGGUGAGUGGAAUUCCGAGUGUAGAGGUGAAAUUCGUAGAUAUUCGGAGGAACACCAGUGGCGAAGGCGGCUCACUGGCUCGGUACUGACGCUGAGGUGCGAAAGCGUGGGGAGCAAACAGG
RNAcentral lists this ribosomal RNA (253 nucleotides) under uncultured bacterium. RNAcentral's name for it is "partial 16S ribosomal RNA". It matches the Rfam family "Bacterial small subunit ribosomal RNA", at positions 524 to 776 of the family's 1533-position model. The record is from RNAcentral. RNAcentral also lists the same sequence under 2 other names.